This 1569-nucleotide long non-coding RNA is filed under the name Jatropha curcas. RNAcentral's name for it is "long non-coding RNA (JCUR_LNC002932)". Lineage: Eukaryota; Viridiplantae; Streptophyta; Magnoliopsida; Malpighiales; Euphorbiaceae. The record is from RNAcentral.
AGCAAUUGACGAAAGAGAGGAAUUGAUUCAGUGAAAAGUAGUUUCAAUUAGUAGCAAGAGGCAACAAAAAAAAGGAAGAAAAGGAAGGAACACCCUAGACAGGGCAAUCAACAAAAAUACUACGUAAAACAUCUAUGUUUCAGAAAUGUUUCCUGCACGCAAACGUUUCGGGGCCAUUUCUGUAAAUUGAAUAACUUGGAAACGCGUUUCCGCUCUCGAAAUAUGUUUCCAUAAACUCAAAAGCUCAUUUCUUAAUUAAAAUAAAUACAUAAAAAAAUUCAGAUUCAUAAAUCAUGUAUUUUUUAUGAGUACGAAACUUGUAAUUCUUUUGGAUACCAUUAAAUAUUGAUUGGACUUGACUUGUUAUUGAAUAUAUUUAAUGGUUUAUAAUAAUUUAUUUUUUUGUGUUUUAUAAAUAAAACCCUAUACUUUUCAUAUUUACACAUUUCCCCCACGUUUCCGUUUUCUAUAUUUUUAAAAAUACCAUUUCCCCGUGUCCAUUUCCGCGUUUCCACGCUUCCACGUUUCAGUUUCUGUGCAACAUAGUAUAACAUUUUUAUCUAGUUUAAAUUUCAACCAGGAAAAAAUUUAAAAAUAAAAAAACAACACACUGUUGAAAAUCCUAAAAAAAGAAAAUCAACAGCUUCUGGUUACAUCCUAUUUCCUCCAAUAUAUUCAACUAAGUUUAGACCCUUAUGCUAUUGACACUAUAUUGAAUUGUGGACAUGAAAAUAAAUUUUACCAUCUUAAUGAGAGGAUGAAGGAAUAUUUAACUCGAUUAAAUUUUAAUUUUAAAUCAAUUGAAACUGAUUGUAGAAAUCCAUUUCUUCUAAUUAUAUUUAUACUCGAUUAAAUGUUUGUGCUUCAUUUUGCAAUUUAUGUUUAAACGCUAGCAAUGAUAAAUGUUGAGAAUAUGGUGGAAUUUAAAAUUUCACGAGAAGGUUAAUGUAAUUGUCCUUUUAAUUUGGAAACAAAAUAAUUAAAUAAUUUUUAUUUUAGUAGGACUUGUAUUCGUAAGUGCAUUACAAAUAAUGCGAAAUAAUUGUUUUCACCAAUUUGGUAAAUUAAGGGGAAGACCACCUUCUGUUGGGUAGCCCGUAGUGUUAUUUCGGUCCAUAAAGACCUCCAAUGAAUUAAAAAAAGUAUGGCUUGUAAAUAAAACUUUGUUUAUGAAAUGAAAAGUAUUUAAUAAUAUUCUGAAACUUUUAUUUUAUUAUGACCAAUCAAAGCUAUAGAAUCUUACUAUUAUAAUUUUAAAACCUAACAAAAUUAUUGAUACCAUGUAAAUAUAGCAUAUAUAUUUAAUGGAAUUUAUGGACACUGUCAGACUCCAACCAGGAGGCAAUAUCCCCUUAAAAGAGCAACAGAAUAUGCUUGGCGCCAUCUAUUAGCUGUUAUAUAACACACUGUUGAAAAUCCUAAAAAAGAAAAUCAACAGCUUCUGGUUACAUCCUAUUUACUCCAAUAUAUUCAACUAAUCAAUUUGCUGAAGGAUAUCCAUACUUCUUGAUUUAGAUUUUGGAUGUCCUCAAUAAUAUUAACAUUUCAAUUCCGAAAUUACUUUUAGAA